AAGUCGUAACAAGGUUUCCGUAGGUGAACCUGCGGAAGGAUCAUUAACGAAUAACUAUGGUGUCUUGGUUGUAGCUGGCUCCUCGGAGCAAUGUGCACGCCCGCCAUUUUUAUCUUUCCACCUGUGCACCGACUGUAGGUCUGGAUACCUCUCGCCCUUCACGGGGCGGAUGCGAGGGUUGCCCGUAACACGGCUCUCCUCGAAUUUCCAGGCUCUACGUCUUUUUACACACCCCAAUAGUAUGAUGCAGAAUGUAGUCAAUGGGCUUCUCAGCCUAUAAAACAAUAUACAACUUUCAGCAACGGAUCUCUUGGCUCUC
Molecule: unclassified non-coding RNA, 319 nt
Filed under: Coprinellus xanthothrix
Lineage: Eukaryota; Fungi; Basidiomycota; Agaricomycetes; Agaricales; Psathyrellaceae
Description: partial internal transcribed spacer region
Rfam family: Eukaryotic small subunit ribosomal RNA (bases 1-46)
Source: RNAcentral